UACUAUAGCUUGACACUGAACAUUGAGCCUUGAUGUGUAGGAUAGGUGGGAGGCUUUGAAGUGUGGACGCCAGUCUGCAUGGAGCCGACCUUGAAAUACCACCCUUUAAUGUUUGAUGUUCUAACGUUGACCCGUAAUCCGGGUUGCGGACAGUGUCUGGUGGGUAGUUUGACUGGGGCGGUCUCCUCCUAAAGAGUAACGGAGGAGCACGAAGGUUGGCUAAUCCUGGUCGGACAUCAGGAGGUUAGUGCAAUGGCAUAAGCCAGCUUGACUGCGAGCGUGACGGCGCGAGCAGGUGCGAAAGCAGGUCAUAGUGAUCCGGUGGUUCUGAAUGGAAGGGCCAUCGCUCAACGGAUAAAAGGUACUCCGGGGAUAACAGGCUGAUACCGCCCAAGAGUUCAUAUCGACGGCGGUGUUUGGCACCUCGAUGUCGGCUCAUCACAUCCUGGGGCUGAAGUAGGUCCCAAGGGUAUGGCUGUUCGCCAUUUAAAGUGGUACGCGAGCUGGGUUUAGAACGUCGUGAGACAGUUCGGUCCCUAUCUGCCGUGGGCGCUGGAGAACUGAGGGGGGCUGCUCCUAGUACGAGAGGACCGGAGUGGACGCAUCACUGGUGUUCGGGUUGUCAUGCCAAUGGCACUGCCCGGUAGCUAAAUGCGGAAGAGAUAAGUGCUGAAAGCAUCUAAGCACGAAACUUGCC
This 697-nucleotide ribosomal RNA is filed under the name Escherichia coli. Its description in RNAcentral is "partial 23S ribosomal RNA". It matches the Rfam family "Bacterial large subunit ribosomal RNA", at positions 2102 to 2798 of the family's 2925-position model. The record is from RNAcentral. Lineage: Bacteria; Pseudomonadati; Pseudomonadota; Gammaproteobacteria; Enterobacterales; Enterobacteriaceae.